CCCUUAGAUGUUCUGGGCCGCACGCGCGCUACACUGAUGCAUUCAACGAGUCUAAAACCUGCUCUGAUAGGGGUGGGUAAUCUUUUGAAUGUGCAUCGUGAUUGGGAUAGAUGAUUGCAAUUUUUCAUCUUCAACCAGGAAUGCCUAGUAAACGCAAGUCAUCAGCUUGCAUUGAUUACGUCCCUGCCCUUUGUACACACCGCCCGUCGCUCCUACCGAUUGAAUGAUCCGAUGAAUAUCAUGGAUUGAGGAUGCAAGUAGGUUAGCCUAUCUUCAUCUUCGAGAAGUGAAGUAAAUCUUAUCAUUUAGAGGAAGGAGAAGUCGUAACA
RNAcentral lists this ribosomal RNA (329 nucleotides) under uncultured eukaryote. Its description in RNAcentral is "partial 18S ribosomal RNA". It matches the Rfam family "Eukaryotic small subunit ribosomal RNA", at positions 1470 to 1796 of the family's 1831-position model. The record is from RNAcentral.